UGAUGGCGACCGGCGCACGGGUGAGUAACGCGUAUGCAACUUACCUAUCAGAGGGGGAUAGCCCGGCGAAAGUCGGAUUAAUACCCCAUAAAACAGGGGUCCCGCAUGGGAAUAUUUGUUAAAGAUUCAUCGCUGAUAGAUAGGCAUGCGUUCCAUUAGGCAGUUGGCGGGGUAACGGCCCACCAAACCGACGAUGGAUAGGGGUUCUGAGAGGAAGGUCCCCCACAUUGGUACUGAGACACGGACCAAACUCCUACGGGAGGCAGCAGUGAGGAAUAUUGGUCAAUGGCCGAGAGGCUGAACCAGCCAAGUCGCGUGAAGGAAGAAGGAUCUAUGGUUUGUAAACUUCUUUUAUAGGGGAAUAAAGUGGAGGACGUGUCCUUUUUUGUAUGUACCCUAUGAAUAAGCAUCGGCUAACUCCGUGCCAGCAGCCGCGGUAAUACGGAGGAUGCGAGCGUUAUCCGGAUUUAUUGGGUUUAAAGGGUGCGUAGGUGGUGAUUUAAGUCAGCGGUGAAAGUUUGUGGCUCAACCAUAAAAUUGCCGUUGAAACUGGGUUACUUGAGUGUGUUUGAGGUGGGCGGAAUUCGUGGUGUAGCGGUGAAAUGCUUAGAUAUCACGAAGAACUCCGAUUG
RNAcentral lists this ribosomal RNA (632 nucleotides) under uncultured bacterium. RNAcentral describes it as "bacterial SSU rRNA". It matches the Rfam family "Bacterial small subunit ribosomal RNA", at positions 86 to 715 of the family's 1533-position model. The record is from RNAcentral.